This 295-nucleotide ribosomal RNA is filed under the name Vibrio parahaemolyticus. RNAcentral describes it as "partial 23S ribosomal RNA". It matches the Rfam family "Bacterial large subunit ribosomal RNA", at positions 296 to 601 of the family's 2925-position model. The record is from RNAcentral. Lineage: Bacteria; Pseudomonadati; Pseudomonadota; Gammaproteobacteria; Vibrionales; Vibrionaceae.
GCCCAGAGUCUUAAUCAAUAGCAGCAUCAGGAGAACGGUCUGGAAAGUCCGGCAGUAAAGGGUGAUAGCCCCGUAUCCGAAGAUGCUGUUAUUGUGAACUCGACGAGUAGGGCGGGACACGUGUUAUCCUGUCUGAAUAUGGGGGGACCAUCCUCCAAGGCUAAAUACUCCUGAUUGACCGAUAGUGAACCAGUACCGUGAGGGAAAGGCGAAAAGAACCCCGGCGAGGGGAGUGAAAAAGAACCUGAAACCGUGUACGUACAAGCAGUAGGAGCCCCAUCACUCAAGUGCCUCG